UCCCUGAUGGUGUAACGGCAGCACGACGGCCUUUGGAGCCGAGAGCCCGGGUUCGAACCCUGGUCGGGGAGCCA
This 74-nucleotide transfer RNA is filed under the name Microbacterium hominis. RNAcentral describes it as "tRNA-Gln". It matches the Rfam family "tRNA". From Rfam's summary of the family: Transfer RNA (tRNA) molecules are approximately 80 nucleotides in length. Their secondary structure includes four short double-helical elements and three loops (D, anti-codon, and T loops). Lineage: Bacteria; Bacillati; Actinomycetota; Actinomycetes; Micrococcales; Microbacteriaceae. RNAcentral also lists the same sequence under 1 other name. The record is from RNAcentral.